UAUCAAUUGAGUUACUUAAGAUUUAAUUAGGAUUUGGUUUAGGAUUAGAAUUUGGUUUAAGAUUUAAGAUUUUUUUAGGAUUUGAUUUAGGAUUUAGGAUUUUGAAUUUAUCUAGGAUUUGGUUUAGGAUUUAAAGCUUAAUUUAGGAUUUAAGAUUUAGAAUUUUUCUAAGAUUUGAUUUAAGGUUUAGGAUUUUUUUAGGAUUUGAUUUAGGAUUUAAGAUUUUUUUAGGGCUUGGUUAAGGAUUUAGGAUUUUUUUUAGGAUUUGAUUUAGGAUUUAGGAUUUUUCUAGGAUUUGACUUAGGAUUUAAGAUUUAUCUAUGAUUUGGUUCACGGUUUAGGAUUUUUUUAGGAUUUGAUUUAGGAUUUAGGAUUUGUCUAAGGUUUGAUUGAAAUCUAUUGGAAUUUCAAUAAGAAUUAAAUUAAAACUUAGUUGAGAUUAAUUUAAAAUAUAUUUUUGAUUAUUCUAAUAUUUUUUAGAAUUUCUUAAGGAUUCUUUUAAGGUUUAUUGUAGAUUUUCUUUCAAUUCCUUUAAGUUUUUUUAUUGUUUCUCUUGUAAUUUCUUUAAGAUUUUUUUUGAAUUUGAUUAAAGCUUGUUUAAUAUUGUUUAAUAUCUAUUUAAUUAGAGUUUAUUUAAUAUUCUAUUAGAGUUAGCAUUUUGUUGUAGCAAUUUCCAUUCUACCUUCCACAGCUAGGUGCUUGGUGCAUUCUCAGACAAAAUUUUACACAAUACAACAAUGAUUUAGCUAAGCCAACAACAAGAUUUAAUAGCUUCAUCAAUCAUAGAUACUAAGUAUAAACUUGCUUACAUUGCUUCUAAGAAAGUAAUAUGG
RNAcentral lists this long non-coding RNA (833 nucleotides) under Physcomitrium patens. Its description in RNAcentral is "long non-coding RNA (PPAT_LNC003284)". The record is from RNAcentral. Lineage: Eukaryota; Viridiplantae; Streptophyta; Bryopsida; Funariales; Funariaceae.